RNAcentral lists this long non-coding RNA (1458 nucleotides) under Setaria viridis. Its description in RNAcentral is "long non-coding RNA (SVIR_LNC010140)". Lineage: Eukaryota; Viridiplantae; Streptophyta; Magnoliopsida; Poales; Poaceae. The record is from RNAcentral.
CUCGUCACCCUCGUCUCCUUCCUCGCCCUCGUCGAACUCAGCGCCGACCUCCUCGUAGUCCUUCUCGAGCGCAGCCAGGUCCUCACGGGCCUCAGAGAACUCGCCCUCCUCCAUGCCCUCACCCACGUACCAGUGAACGAAGGCACGCUUGGCGUACAUGAGGUCAAACUUGUGGUCGAUGCGGGAGAACACCUCGACCACGCUGGUGGAGUUGGAGAUCAUGCACACGGCACGCUGCACCUUGGCCAGGUCACCGCCAGGCACCACGCUGGGGGGCUGGUAGUUGAUGCCGCACUUGAACCCAGUGGGGCACCAGUCCACGAACUGGAUGGUGCGCUUGGUCUUGAUGGUGGCAACAGCAGCGUUGACGUCCUUGGGCACCACAUCACCACGGUACAUGAGGCAGCAAGCCAUGUACUUGCCAUGGCGGGGGUCGCACUUGGCCAUCAUGGAGGACGGCUCAAAGGCGCUGUUGGUGAUCUCUGCAACAGACAGCUGCUCAUGGUAGGCCUUCUCGGCAGAGAUGACUGGUGCAUAGGAUGAAAGCAUGAAGUGGAUCCUCGGGUAGGGCACCAAGUUGGUCUGGAACUCGUUCACAUCCACGUUCAGAGCACCAUCGAACCUCAGGGAGGCAAUCAGAGAUGAGAUGACCUGCAUCACAACAAUGAUGACGAACAGAAGGUUAGACAAGCACAGAUUUCAGAACCAUUCACAAUGCAGAGGGACAACACUGAAUGUUGCGACAGUAAACCAAGGCAGUACCUGAGACACGAGCCUGUUGAGGUUGGUGUAGGUGGGGCGCUCAAUGUCAAGGGAGCGGCGGCAGAUGUCAUAGAUGGCCUCAUUGUCAAGCAGAACAGCAACAUCAGUGUGCUCGAGGAGGGAGUGGGUGGACAGGACACUGUUGUAUGGCUCAACCACUGAGGUGGAGACCUGGGGAGAUGGGUACACAGUGAACCCGAGCUUGGACUUCUUGCCAUAGUCAACAGACAGACGCUCAAGGAGGAGAGAACCAAGACCAGAGCCUGUUCCUCCACCAACAGCAUUGAAGACAAGGAAGCCCUGGAGACCAGUGCAGUUGUCGGCAAGCUUCCUGAUGCGGUCAAGGCACAGGUCAACAAUCUCCUUGCCAACUGCAAGACAAGCAAUCAAAGUCAGACUUUCAAUGAAGGAUGGAUAACUGGAAACAAUGUGCACUUUGAGAUCAGAUCAUGUUACUUACUGGUGUAGUGACCACGGGCAAAGUUAUUGGCAGCAUCCUCCUUGCCACUGAUGAGCUGCUCAGGGUGGAAGAGCUGGCGGUAAGUACCAGUCCUCACCUCAUCAAUCACAGUGGGCUCAAGGUCAACAAAAACAGCACGGGGCACAUGCUUCCCAGCACCAGUCUCACUGAAGAAGGUGUUGAAAGCAUCAUCACCUCCUCCAACGGUCUUGUCGCCGGGCAUCUGGCCAUCAGCC